Molecule: ribosomal RNA, 506 nt
Filed under: Gymnopilus ventricosus
Lineage: Eukaryota; Fungi; Basidiomycota; Agaricomycetes; Agaricales; Galerinaceae
Description: partial large subunit ribosomal RNA
Rfam family: Eukaryotic large subunit ribosomal RNA
Source: RNAcentral
AGAAACUAACAAGGAUUCCCCUAGUAACUGCGAGUGAAGCGGGAAAAGCUCAAAUUUAAAAUCUGGCGGUCUUUGGCCGUCCGAGUUGUAAUCUAGAGAAGUGUUAUCCGCGCYGGACCGUGUACAAGUCUCCUGGAAUGGAGCGUCAUAGAGGGUGAGAAUCCCGUCUUUGACACGGACUCCCAAGGCUUUGUGGUGCGCUCUCAAAGAGUCGAGUUGUUUGGGAAUGCAGCUCUAAAUGGGUGGUAAAUUCCAUCUAAAGCUAAAUAUUGGCGAGAGACCGAUAGCGAACAAGUACCGUGAGGGAAAGAUGAAAAGAACUUUGGAAAGAGAGUUAAACAGUACGUGAAAUUGCUGAAAGGGAAACGCUUGAAGUCAGUCGCGUUGGCCGGAGAUCAACCUUGCUUUUGYUGGGCGUACUUUCUGGUUGACGGGCCAGCAUCAGUUUUGACCGCUGGAUAAAGUCUAGGGGAAUGUGGCAUCUUCGGAUGUGUUAUAGCCCUUGG